This is an RNA transcript of Rosa chinensis, 5524 nucleotides long. It is a transcript of the gene named copper-transporting ATPase PAA2, chloroplastic, with no coding region annotated. Lineage: Eukaryota; Viridiplantae; Streptophyta; Magnoliopsida; Rosales; Rosaceae. The record is from RefSeq and is a predicted model, not a curated record. The transcript is spliced from 14 exons.
UCAGUUUCUCACACAACUCAUAUUGACUAGCACGACAUUUUUAGAGUCAAACCCUAACCACUAAGAUAGCCGACCUCCUCUUCCUCAUCCUCGCCUCCGACCAGCACUUGACGGCUCUCCUCCUCCUUCUCCACCUCCGAUCGUUCUCCACCCAAUGUCGAAGCACCACUUCUCUCAUCCAUUUUGAUUUCGGCGCAUCUCUUCUCUCAUCUCUUUUCUCAGAUUCACCGAAUCCGCCAACAACGCCAGGGCUCGCCUUGUUCCCUCGUCGAGCCAAGGAAGACGAGACCGUAAAGGUCAAGACGCAUUCGAUUCAGGUGAACUGUCUCCUGCUGGUGUAGGUAGCUUUAGCAUAUCAACUGUACAGAAAAAUCCUUUGAAUCCUAAUCCUGCAACUGUACAGAAAAAUCAUUUUCUCAAACAUUUUCAAGUCCUUUUAAUACCUCAAUCUCAUCUGGUUUAUUUGCCCAAAAACCCUCAUCCUUUGCAUACUCCCAGUAUGCAGAGCAGUUCAUUGGGUACUACAUGCAACCAACUGGGUAUUACUCAACCAUUUCCUGCUUUUCCUACUUUCCAGACAUCUCAACCUCUUCAGAGUAGUCCUUUUGGCUUCAGGCAACACCAACACCAUUAAUCAACCACAGCCAGAGUUGCAAACAGUCAGAGGAGUUAAAGACAAAGGCUAGAGCAAAGAGGUGCGGGUUUGGUCAAGAAAAAAGGCAUCAAAGGAUUAUUUGUACAAAGUAGAAGUAAGGGGCCAUUCCUUGUUGAUGCAACUCUAAGUCAGGUUAGUUAUCAUUUAUCUCUCCCUACUUUCUCAUUUGCUUUUGCAUGGUUUUCAUGAAUUAUGAUGAAUUCUUGAUUUCCAGUAUGUUGUUUGUUGUUUGAUGUCUUGUCUUCAACAAUUCUCAUUUUUUUUUAAAUUUCAGCAAUGGAUAAAUCUUGGAUUAACGAAGAUAGGGAUACUUUAAAGUAUGAAUUGGGUGUUGAAAACUUCUUGCUUUUUGCUGAAGAGAAUGCUAGUAACCCUAAUAAAAUUCGAUGUCCUUGCUCAAAAUGUGUAAACUUCAAAGAGAAGUCGAUUAAAGUCAUAAGGGGACAUUUGUAUGCUUAUGGCUUUAGUUUGAGCUACACAAACUGGAUUUGGCAUGGAGAACCUACUUUGUCCUCCUAUGCUAGUGCACCUAGUCCUUUAGGUGUACCUCAAAACCCUCAUUUUGGUUCUGAAACCAUUGAUAUGUGUCAAGCAGCCUUUAAUGAAGGUGAUUAUGAUGAGGAGUCCUAUGAGUUCAAUAAGUUUGUUGAGGAAGCAGAAAAACCAUUAUUUGAGGAUAGUGAACACACCAAGUUAGAUGCAUUGGUGCAACUUCACAAUUUGAAAGCUAGGUUUGGUACGAGUGAUACUUGUUUUUCUGAGUUACUUGCCACUGUUGGGUCUUUGCUUCCAAAAGAUAAUGUACUACCUCAAACCUUAUAUGAGGCAAAAAAACCCUCACCAAUUUGGGGCUGCAAUGUUGUAUAAACCUAUCACACACAAUACAAUAAGUGGGAGACUUCCUCUUUUUAUUCCAAUACUGAAUGUUGGCUUAUAUAGCCUUACAAAGAAAUAGAUAGAAACAAAUAGCACUAGCAACGUAGAUCAUGGGGAGGAAACAUUCAAACCUAACGUACUGUCAUCAAUAAGUAGGAUUUAAUAUCUAACGUACUGCCCUCAUAAGUAGGGUUAACGUAUUGCCCAAAUAAAUUGGGUUUAUUUACUGCAAUAACUAAAACAAACUCGAACGUUCAGAAUAACAGUUAAGCCAUAGCUGUUCCAACAUAUCCCCCCUUAAACUGUUUGCACUUGUGCAAUCAGUUUAUACCUGGUACCGUGCACAUCCCAAGUAGCUCACGAAGCUUCUCAAACACUUCAAGCUUCAGUGGCUUCGUCAUGAUGUCUGCUAUUUGAUUCUGUGAGUUGCAAUGGACCAGCUCCACUGUUCCAUCUUUGGUAAGGUCACGAAGGAAAUGGAAACGUACAUCAAUAUGUUUGCUUCUUCCAUGCAGCACCGGGUUCUUCGAAAGUUUUAUAGUGGAGCUGUUAUCACAAUACACGGUUGUGCUUCCAUGCUGAGCAUGGCCAAGCUUUUCAAGAACUCUGCGCAUCCAAAUUCCUUGACAAGCACAGGAGGCUGCAGCUAUAAACUCAGCUUCGGUGGUAGAUAAGGUAACUACAGGUUGCUUUUUAGAAGACCAUGAAACUGCACCGGUGCUAAGUAGAAACACGUAUCCGGAUGUGCUCCUCCGGUCAUCUAGAUCACCUGCGUGGUCACUAUCCUUGUAUGCCUCAAGCUUCUCGUUCCCAUUUCGUUUGUACAGAAUCCCCAAAUCAACAGUGCCUUUGAGAUACCUGAGGACUCUUUUAACUGCUUGCAUGUGUAGCUCAGUCGGACUUCCCAUAAACCUGCUGAUUAAACUUAUCACAUACAUGAGAUCUGGCCUAGUAGCUGCCAAGUACAUCAAACAGCCAACAACCUGCUUAUACAUAGUGGCGUCCACCUUCACACCACUUUCAUCUUUCAUCAACUUGAAUCUAGGGACAAUAGGGUUCCUAGACGAGUUGCUCUUCUCCAUUCUUAAUCUCUCCAACACCUCCUUUGCAUACUUUCUUUGGCAAAUGUAAAUCCCAUCCUCAUUCUGAACAACCUCGACUCCAAGGAAAUAACGCAUCUUACCGAGAUCCGUCAUGUCAAACUCUUGUUUCAUAGACUUCUUAAACUCCUCAAACAUGUAUUCAUCAUUGCCAGUAAAUUUAAGGUCAUCAAUGUAAAUACUAACAAUGAGAAUGGUACCUUUUUCUCCUAACUUCACGAACAAGGUAUGCUCAUGUGGGCACCGUUCAAAUCCUUCCCUGAUGAAGUAGGCUUCGAUACGACUGUACCACGCACGUGGAGCUUGUUUGAGGCCAUACAAGGCUUUCUUCAAUUUAUACACUUUCAACUCAUCACCCUUCUUCACAAACCCUUGUGGCUGAUCAACGAAAACGGUUUCAUUUAACUCACCAUGCAGAAAUGCACUCUUUACGUCCAUUUGAUACAUACACCAUCCCUUUUUAGCAGCAAGAGCAAUUAUCAUGCGUAUGGUGUCCCACCUAGCCACAGGUGCAAACACCUCAGUAUAAUCGAUCCCAUACUAUUGAGCAUACCCCUUAACAACAAGCCGUGCUUUGCAUUUAUCCACUUCUCCACUUUCAUUCAACUUAGUUUUGAAUAUCCAUUUUACUCCGAUAGUUUUUGCUCCUUUUGGCAACUUGGUCAAUUCCCAAGUACCAUUUUUCUCGAUUGCCUCUAUUUCUUGAACCAUUGCGGCCUGCCAUUUUUCACUUUUGUGCGCCUCUUCAAACGUAGUUGGAUCGGACGUAGAGGCGAACAUCACAAGAUUGUGCAAUUCUUCUUCUUCUGACAGCCCUUCUCCACUUUCAUAGUCUUGCAUCCACACCGGUAAUCUCCUUGUCCUCCCUUCUUCUUGAGCUUCUUCUUCCGACUGAUUUGAGGAAGAGCUAGUUGCUCCUUCUCCUUCAGCUCCUUCUUCUUGGUCACUUUCCACUACUAGAACAAUGUCAUUAGACAUCACCACUAUUAAAUCGGUCAGGAUUGCACCUGAUGUUAAAAAUCAUGUUAACAUCAGUUUGUGAAGAAACCGAUUUCUAUUGUUAUUAUGGACAUCAGUCACCAAAGAAACCGAUGAGAAAAGUUUCGUACGAAAAAUUUACAAAAACGCGGAGGGACUAAGUUGAAAAAUUUGAGAAACGCGGGGACUAAAAAUUUCAUUCCCCCCAUACUUAGUUUUUUUUCCCACACCACUUGCAUUGACUUUGAGUCAUUCCCUAACCCUAACUCAUUUUCACCCAACCUCCUUGUCUUCCUCCUCCGCCUCUGAGCAGCAGCUUACCCUUAUCCAGGGUUCUAAAACGCUCCGUCGCUCUCUCUCUCUCUCUCUUUUCUGCACGCUCCGUCGGCCGUCGGCCAGUCACUCUCUCUCUAUCUGACAGGCUCUCUCUCGAUCAGUCGAUUGACUCGAUUCUCAGUCUCUCUCCGGCCAGCUCUCUAGCUCUCCAGCUCGCAGGCUUCAAGCUUGGUGAUUCUUCAACCUCGAAGCUUGGUGAUUCUUCAUUCUUCACGCUCGAUUUCUGGGUUCAAGUGGUGAUUCUUCAAGCUCGAUUUUUGGGUUUUGGAUUCUCUGUUUCUGCAAGCUCUGUAGUUUCUUGCCCUUGUGCACUGGGUUUUGCAACACCCACAGCAAUCCUAGUUGGCACUUCUCUUGGAGCAAGGCUAGGUUGGCCAGUAUAGAUCAUUUUGCUUUAGACAAGUUAUCUCUGCAAUCUCACUCGAAGCUUCAACCUUCAGACAGGAACCCUCACUAAAGGAAAACCUGCCGUUUCUAGCAUUGCUUCUUUCAAGUAUAAAGACUUGGAAAUUCUUCAAAUAGCUGCUGCUGUAGAGAGUACAGCAUCACAUCCAAUUGCUGAUGCUAUCUUAAAUAAAGCCAAAUCAUUGGAGUUGAGUAUUAAGAUUUGAGCACUGCUCAAUCAGAUUGACAUGGCCCAUUAAGAUUUGAGCAAAAACUAGAAAGUUUCUGCUGAAAUGGGAAGAGUUUUGACUGGAAGAAGUGUUGUGGAUGAGUCCAUGCUCACAGGAGAAUCGCUUCCUGUAUUUAAGGAAAAAGAACUUACCGUCUCAGCUGGAACAAUAAAUUGGGAUGGUCCUCUGAGAAUUGAAGCAACUUCAACUGGCUCCAAUUCAAUGAUUUCCAAGAUUGUUCGCAUGGUUGAGGAUGCUCAAGGCCAUGAAGCACCAAUUCAAAGGCUUGCUGAUUCAAUAGCUGGACCUUUUGUAUACACUAUAAUGACUCUCUCAGCUACAACAUUUGCUUUUUGGUACUACAUUGGAACUCAUAUUUUUCCUGAUGUUUUGCUCAAUGAUAUUGCUGGGCCAGAUGGAGAUUCAUUGCUAUUGAGCUUGAAACUAGCUGUGGAUGUCUUGGUGUGUAUGGUGAACAAAUGAAUAUAAAGAUACUGUCCAGAAGGGUAUCAGAACUGUCCUGUUUUCUAAGGACAGGGAAGAGGAAGUUGCAACUAUAGCAAAAUCAGUUGGAAUAGAAAAGGAAUUUAUCAAGUCAUCAUUGACUCCACAGGGAAAAUCUGGAGCUAUUUCUAGUCUUAAAGCUGCAGGGCAUCAUGUUGCAAUGGUUGGUGAUGGCAUACCCAACAACAACUUGACGAGGUCCGCAUUGAAGUAGCCGACUACUUACAGACUCUGCUAUAGGUUCUGACCAAUUUCUUGAUUUUGAGUUAGGCUAGCUUUUAAUUAACUUUUUUGAAGCAAUUAUGAACAAACAUGAAUACUAAUUGCUAGGCUAGCCUUGUAGUAUAUAGGUGCAUGAAUUGGGGUUUUAUUUUGCCCAUUUUGUAAACUAUUAAGGAUGAUGAAUGUCGGAUAUAAUACCCCAAUUUGCAAUUUAUAAUCACAGUUCUAUUUUGUGGACA